This 548-nucleotide ribosomal RNA is filed under the name uncultured bacterium. RNAcentral describes it as "bacterial SSU rRNA". It matches the Rfam family "Bacterial small subunit ribosomal RNA", at positions 355 to 895 of the family's 1533-position model. The record is from RNAcentral.
UAGGGAAUCUUCGGCAAUGGACGGAAGUCUGACCGAGCAACGCCGCGUGAGUGAAGAAGGUUUUCGGAUCGUAAAGCUCUGUUGUAAGAGAAGAACGAGUGUGAGAGUGGAAAGUUCACACUGUGACGGUAUCUUACCAGAAAGGGACGGCUAACUACGUGCCAGCAGCCGCGGUAAUACGUAGGUCCCGAGCGUUAUCCGGAUUUAUUGGGCGUAAAGCGAGCGCAGGCGGUUAGAUAAGUCUGAAGUUAAAGGCUGUGGCUUAACCAUAGUACGCUUUGGAAACUGUUUAACUUGAGUGCAGAAGGGGAGAGUGGAAUUCCAUGUGUAGCGGUGAAAUGCGUAGAUAUAUGGAGGAACACCGGUGGCGAAAGCGGCUCUCUGGUCUGUAACUGACGCUGAGGCUCGAAAGCGUGGGGAGCAAACAGGAUUAGAUACCCUGGUAGUCCACGCCGUAACGAUGAGUGCUAGGUGUUGGGUCCUUUCCGGGACUCAGUGCCGCAGCUAACGCAUUAAGCACUCCGCCUGGGGAGUACGACCGCAAGGUU